This is a long non-coding RNA of Lycium barbarum (goji berry), 522 nucleotides long. RefSeq lists it as uncharacterized. The record is from RefSeq and is a predicted model, not a curated record. Lineage: Eukaryota; Viridiplantae; Streptophyta; Magnoliopsida; Solanales; Solanaceae. The transcript is spliced from 3 exons.
AACAUCCUUAAAAUAAGAGUGUGAUUGUUGUGGAUAAUUUACAAGACUCCACAAGUGAUUCUGUAAGUAACUGUUUGACAAUUGGUGAUGAUAAUACACAUCGAUCCUAGAGAAGAGGUAAGAAUGGCCUAGUGAUUGAUGAAACAAGUGGAGAUUUAAUUUAUGAGGUUUCGGAUGCAACUGAAGAUAAAAAAAAAAAUACUACAGUUAGUUAUUUCGUCUCAUCUGCCGAUCUGCCUUGGUGAAAUAAUGGAGGUGCACCCAGAUGAGUUGAAGCUAAUAUAGAAGAUAUUCUAGCAGAGUUGGCAAGCUCCACUUGUUCCCGGAGUGCUACCGAGUCAAAGUACAUGUGCUACGAUGUGUGAUAAAUGUUAGAGACUUUGCAGACAGAGUCGUGGGUAUAGGAUGUCGGUAUUGUGAAUGUCGUUUUAUGUUAUGUUAUAAAGUCCAUAUGAUAACAGAUUAUAUUUGAUUUGAGUACGAUGAAAAAAAUAAAUUGAAAGCUUUACUAUGUUUUCCACU